UGCAUGGAGCCGACCUUGAAAUACCACCCUUUAAUGUUUGAUGUUCUAACGUUGACCCGUAAUCCGGGUUGCGGACAGUGUCUGGUGGGUAGUUUGACUGGGGCGGUCUCCUCCUAAAGAGUAACGGAGGAGCACGAAGGUUGGCUAAUCCUGGUCGGACAUCAGGAGGUUAGUGCAAUGGCAUAAGCCAGCUUGACUGCGAGCGUGACGGCGCGAGCAGGUGCGAAAGCAGGUCAUAGUGAUCCGGUGGUUCUGAAUGGAAGGGCCAUCGCUCAACGGAUAAAAGGUACUCCGGGGAUAACAGGCUGAUACCGCCCAAGAGUUCAUAUCGACGGCGGUGUUUGGCACCUCGAUGUCGGCUCAUCACAUCCUGGGGCUGAAGUAGGUCCCAAGGGUAUGGCUGUUCGCCAUUUAAAGUGGUACGCGAGCUGGGUUUAGAACGUCGUGAGACAGUUCGGUCCCUAUCUGCCGUGGGCGCUGGAGAACUGAGGGGGGCUGCUCCUAGUACGAGAGGACCGGAGUGGACGCAUCACUGGUGUUCGGGUUGUCAUGCCAAUGGCACUGCCCGGUAGCUAAAUGCGGAAGAGAUAAGUGCUGAAAGCAUCUAAGCACGAAACUUGCCCCGAGAUGAGUUCUCCCUGACUCCUUGAGAGUCCUGAAGGAACGUUGAAGACGACGACGUUGAUAGGCCGGGUGUGUAAGCGCAGCGAUGCGUUGAGCUAACCGGUACUAAUGAACCGUGAGGCUUAACCUUACAACGCCGAAG
RNAcentral lists this ribosomal RNA (766 nucleotides) under Escherichia coli. RNAcentral's name for it is "partial 23S ribosomal RNA". It matches the Rfam family "Bacterial large subunit ribosomal RNA", at positions 2177 to 2925 of the family's 2925-position model. Lineage: Bacteria; Pseudomonadati; Pseudomonadota; Gammaproteobacteria; Enterobacterales; Enterobacteriaceae. The record is from RNAcentral.